GGAGACUCAAAGAGCUUGGCUUGUUUAGCCUAACCAAAAGAAGGCUGAGGGGAGAUAUGACUGCUCUUUAUAAAUAUAUCAGAGGGAUAAAUAUCAGGGAGGGAGAGGAAUUAUUUAAGCUUAGUACCAAUGUGGACACAAGAACAAAUGGAUAUAAACUGGCUAUCAGGAAGUUUAGACUUGAAAUUAGAGGAAGGUUUCUAACCAUUAGAGGAGUGAAGUUCUGGAACAGCCUUCCAAGGGGAGUAGUGGGGGCAAAAGACAUAUCUGGCUUCAAGACUAAGCUUGAUAAGUUUAUGGAGGGGAUGGUAUGAUGGGAUAGCCUAAUUUUGGCAAUUAAUUUGGCAAUUGAUCUUUGAUUAUCAGCAGGUAAGUAUGCCCAGUGAUCUGUGAUGGGAUG
Long non-coding RNA from Gopherus flavomarginatus (Mexican gopher tortoise), 400 nucleotides. RefSeq lists it as uncharacterized. Lineage: Eukaryota; Metazoa; Chordata; Testudines; Testudinidae. The record is from RefSeq and is a predicted model, not a curated record. The transcript is spliced from 3 exons.